UCAGAGGGGGNUAGAAUUCCACGUGUAGCAGUGAAAUGCGUAGAGAUGUGGAGGAAUACCGAUGGCGAAGGCAGCCCCCUGGGAUAACACUGACGUUCAUGCUCGAAAGCGUGGGUAGCAAACAGGAUUAGAUACCCUGGUAGUCCACGCCCUAAACGAUGUCAAUUAGCUGUUGGGCAACUUGAUUGCUUAGUAGCGUAGCUAACGCGUGAAAUUGACCGCCUGGGGAGUACGGUCGCAAGAUUAAAACUCAAAGGAAUUGACGGGGACCCGCACAAGCGGUGGAUGAUGUGGAUUAAUUCGAUGCAACGCGAAGAACCUUACCUGGUCUUGACAUGUACGGAAUCUUCCAGAGACGGGAGAGUGCCUUCGGGAACCGUAACACAGGUGCUGCAUGGCUGUCGUCAGCUCGUGUCGUGAGAUGUUGGGUUAAGUCCCGCAACGAGCGCAACCCUUGUCAUUAGUUGCCAUCAUUCAGUUGGGCACUCUAAUGAGACUGCCGGUGACAAACCGGAGGAAGGUGGGGAUGACGUCAAGUCCUCAUGGCCCUUAUGACCAGGGCUUCACACGUCAUACAAUGGUCGGUACAGAGGGUAGCCAAGCCGCGAGGUGGAGCCAAUCCCAGAAAACCGAUCGUAGUCCGGAUUGCACUCUGCAACUCGAGUGCAUGAAGUCGGAAUCGCUAGUAAUCGCAGGUCAGCAUACUGCGGUGAAUACGUUCCCGGGUCUUGUACAC
Molecule: ribosomal RNA, 736 nt
Filed under: uncultured bacterium
Lineage: Bacteria
Description: bacterial SSU rRNA
Rfam family: Bacterial small subunit ribosomal RNA
Source: RNAcentral